Molecule: ribosomal RNA, 478 nt
Filed under: uncultured bacterium
Lineage: Bacteria
Description: partial 16S ribosomal RNA
Rfam family: Bacterial small subunit ribosomal RNA
Source: RNAcentral
GACGAACGCUGGCGGCGUGCUUAACACAUGCAAGUCGAACGGGAUUUAGUAAACGGAAGCCUCGGUGGAAGAUUACUAAUGAGAGUGGCGAACGGGUGAGUAACGCGUGAGCAACCUGCCUAUGACAGUGGGAUAGCCUCGGGAAACCGGGAUUAAUACCGCAUAAAAUCGUAGAAACACAUGUUUCAACGGUCAAAGAUUUAUCGGUCAUAGAUGGGCUCGCGUCUGAUUAGCUAGUUGGUGAGAUAACAGCCCACCAAGGCGACGAUCAGUAGCCGGGCUGAGAGGAUGGACGGCCACAUUGGAACUGAGACACGGUCCAAACUCCUACGGGAGGCAGCAGUGGGGAAUAUUGCACAAUGGGGGAAACCCUGAUGCAGCGACGCCGCGUGAACGAAGAAGGUAUUCGUAUCGUAAAGUUCUGUCCUAUGGGAAGAUAAUGACAGUACCAUAGAAGAAAGCGCCGGCUAAAUACGUG